GCCCGAAUGGGACACGCCUCUUCCGUUCGCGGAACAGGCGUGCUGCCUCCGGAUAGGGAAAGCGCGACCUCUUCCGCGUCCCUCAAACUCGGGGCGGGGCAAAGCGGGUUAUUGCAUCCAGUUCUGUGUUGGAAAGAUUUGUAAUGCUUGACCUUCCGUCGUCUUCUUGACGGACGCCAUCUCCUGCUUUGAAAACUCGGACUGAACUGACCACGGCUUGUCUUCCCCCCUUCUUGGACUUGGAAAACUACAAACGUCUGCUUCUGGCUUUGAUCUACGGAACGGAACUGGUCUACUCUACUGCUACAAUCCCUGGCUGAUCUGUUCGUGUUGGAAAUCCUGUCUGCUGUGUGUGUGGGAGCGACGCAAGUUACUCUAAGCACAGUGUUGGCAGCAGAGAGGAAUCUGCUGCCAAUUAGUUGCAUUCUUUGUAUCUUUUGUUCCUUGGCUUUCGUUUUGUUUAUAUUCAGGCUGAAGCAAGCAGUUUGUUUUUUACCCGGAUUAAACUCCGGUUUAAUCCGGUUUAUCUUUUGAACAUUUAUUUUGUCCUUUUUUUGCUCCUAAAGGCAAAUACUGCCUGGCCCUUGUGUUUUACGGGCAUGUUUUGAGUUCUGUAAUCUAAUAAACUCUGUUACUUUGAA
Molecule: long non-coding RNA, 641 nt
Organism: Anolis carolinensis (green anole)
Lineage: Eukaryota; Metazoa; Chordata; Lepidosauria; Squamata; Anolidae
Exons: 2
Source: RefSeq, a predicted model, not a curated record